AUUCAUUUUAUUAUUUCAUUACAAUUAUACACAAUCCUCUCUUACAUACAAAUAUUAUCUUGAUUCAAAGAAUUAUUUUAUUUCUUUCUCUCUUCAUAAUCUGCAUACAAGGACAAAAUACAAAUCCUCGUUAAAAUCCACACCCUUAAGUCUUCUGUGUAUCACAAACCAGAAGAAUAAAUGAAAUUUACUGAAUUAAACUUCAAUUGUUUUCUGAUUUAGAGCAGUGUAUCUCCAUCUCUCCUUCUCCACAAAAUCAGCAUCAAGGAACCUGGCAACAAAAGUCCAUAGUUUAUAUACAUCUUCAAAAUUAGCCAGGAAACUUAAUGCAGCAGUAACUACUGUUACUCCUAGUUUAUCCCUAUCUUUCUUCUUGUUGGUGGUUAGUCCCCGGCCUCUUCCUUCUUUGGUCUGUAGAACUUUUCCCUUGUCUUCUGAAUACUUAUCUGCAAACCAAAUAUGAUGCAGAAACCCAUAGCUGAGAGAUAUAUUGUUCCUAUCAGCAAGUUUCUGCACAAGGACGGGCUCAACCUUCUCGCCUUUCCAAUCAAACACAUUGAAUGCCAAAGCAGGCCCCCUAUCAAAUUUUACCUUUGGGCCAUAAAUCUUCACUAGUGGUUCCCCUGCUGCAUUAGGGUGCUUCAGCUUCAUCAUGGAGUUCACCAGCCAAUUUAUCAGGCUCUCAACCACUUCUUUUGCUUCAACACUUCCAGAGCCUUUUUCUGGCUCUGCUGCUGCCACCAUGAUCUGAAGCUCACAUGAUUCUUCUUCAACUUUUAAAGCUUCCGAAGUUUGUAUCCGACCAGAGAAAGAAUUUAAGGAAGACAAAUCUUGGUCUUGCAAGCUAGAUAAUGGUUUUUGUUUGCAGUUCCCAGAAGAACACUUAUCUUCUGAUGACUGACGUAGAAACCUAUCUGGUACGAGGUUCACAAUUCCUGCGCAAGAAGAGGAUUCAAGAGUGGUAAUAGCAGAUUUCUUGACAAAAAGGCAUCCAAACCCUGAUGGAUUUUCUCCGAAGACCUUGUAAAAUGAGCAGAUGAGAAAGUCGGGUUGAAAGAGAGAUAGGCCAAAGCUAUCCAUGUCUUUGGGACCCAAUGCACAAGCAUCAAUCAACACAUGCCAUCCAUUCUCCUGUGCUAUGCUCAUCCACAGGUAAGGAUAUCUUGCUCCUGUUACCCUGGAGUGAAGUGGAAAUACGAAGAGACCCCUCUUCUUUUUCUUCUUCUUCUUGCUAACAAUCAUCUUCCUCAGUUUUGUUGACUGAAUCCUCAGCCUUGACCAUGAGAACUCUGCUGACAUGGCCUUGGCUCCUCUCUUCUCCGAGCAACAGAUCAUUGCUUCCACUGCCUCACUCUCAUAGUCAUAAACUGUCAGAAGCUUCUUGCUAGAUUGGAAUGGAUACGAGUCUGCCACAAGUUUGAAAGCUGAAGUUCUGUUUGCUGUGAAAACCAUGAAGUAGUCAUUUUCAGAAAUGUUGAGAAACUUCAUUAUUCUUCUCUUCAUGGCAGACUCAAACUCUGACUCCUGCCCUCCAUGAAGCAAAAGUGUUUUCAGAUUCCCAGUCUUGUAGGAUAUGCUAAAGAAGGGAAUAUCCGAAUAUUGGGGAGGGGAUAGAGGUGUUGAAGAAGAGGCAAGUUGGGUUUUUGAGGUGUCAUGAUGGUGUUGGCGUUGGUAAUAAGAGAAGAGGCCAAUACCAAUGUAGUCAAGGCAUGAUUGGUUGGAGAAAGAGAGAUGGUAAUAUUCCUUAGCUCUUAAAUGGUCCACUUGGUCAGUUUCGGAGUAUUGAGGAUACACUUUCUUGAAUUCACCGAAUGAUUCAUGAAGAGAAGGAAGGGACUCGUGGUUGGUGAAUUUGGUGUUUGGGAAGAUAUAGGAUGACGUCGUGGCUACAAAGCUGUGGCGACACUCUGCAGAACUGUUUCUGGGUUUGGUUGUUGUGUUCUGAGAUUGAGGUGGUGGAGGAUUGAACAAUAAAGUAGGGCAACAACCUUGAGGGCAUGAUAGGGAGCCCUCGUUUUGACCAAGGGACUGCAUCUUUUUUUCUUCUCUGCACUCAGACGAAUUCUGGUUGUUAUAUAUACCUGUUUGACAGAUAGAUUUAUUGACAAUUUAUUCUGUGUUGUAAACAAACAUAAAGAUUACAGAACUUUUGUAUUGAUUUAUCUGUAAUUAUGUGGCUGACACAGUACUGUGUGAACACACUGACAAGGUCAGGUAGCACAAUUUGGACUAUUUCUUCUUUUCUUGGGUAGUUUGUCAAGUUGACCUCUUAGUUAUAUUGUGUCUCAUAGUCCAAUCAAUCUGCUUUAAGGCGUGAUGGUGGUGGUGAUGGAUGUGCUUUGGGGGAUUUCCUUACACGUUAUAUAUAAAGAAAAG
This 2376-nucleotide small RNA is filed under the name Vigna angularis var. angularis. Its description in RNAcentral is "Non-protein coding transcript". Lineage: Eukaryota; Viridiplantae; Streptophyta; Magnoliopsida; Fabales; Fabaceae. The record is from RNAcentral.